CCCCUAGAUGUUCUGGGCCGCACGCGCGCUACACUGAACAGUUCAACAAGUCUUAACCUUGGCCGAUAGGUCUGGGUAAUCUUUGAACGCUGUUCGUGAUUGGGAUAGACCUUUGCAAUUAUGGGUCUUCAACGAGGAAUUCCUAGUAAACGCAAGUCAUCAGCUUGCAUUGAUUACGUCCCUGCCCUUUGUACACACCGCCCGUCGCACCUACCGAUUGAAUGGUCCGGUGAAAUCUCGGGACGGCGGCUUGGUCGCUUGCGUCCGACUGCUGAAACUUGAUUAAACCAUAUCAUUUAGAGGAAGGUGAANUCGUGNCA
Molecule: ribosomal RNA, 320 nt
Filed under: uncultured eukaryote
Lineage: Eukaryota
Description: partial 18S ribosomal RNA
Rfam family: Eukaryotic small subunit ribosomal RNA
Source: RNAcentral